CCUACGGGGGGCAGCAGUAGGGAAUCUUCCACAAUGGGCGCAAGCCUGAUGGAGCAACACCGCGUGAGUGAAGAAGGGUUUCGGCUCGUAAAGCUCUGUUGUUGGAGAAGAACGUGCGUGAGAGUAACUGUUCACGCAGUGACGGUAUCCAACCAGAAAGUCACGGCUAACUACGUGCCAGCAGCCGCGGUAAUACGUAGGUGGCAAGCGUUAUCCGGAUUUAUUGGGCGUAAAGAGAGCGCAGGCGGUUGCUUAGGUCUGAUGUGAAAGCCUUCGGCUUAACCGACGAAGUGCAUCGGAAACCGGGCAACUUGAGUGCAGAAGAGGACAGGUGAACUCCAUGUGUAGCGGUGGAAUGCGUAGAUAUAUGGAAGAACACCAGUGGCGAAGGCGGCUGUCUGGUCUGCAACUGACGAUGAGGCUCGAAAGCAUGGGUAGCGAACAGGAUUAGAUACCCGAGUAGUC
Molecule: ribosomal RNA, 465 nt
Filed under: uncultured bacterium
Lineage: Bacteria
Description: partial 16S ribosomal RNA
Rfam family: Bacterial small subunit ribosomal RNA
Source: RNAcentral